AAAUUGAAGAGUUUGAUCAUGGCUCAGAUUGAACGCUGGCGGCAGGCCUAACACAUGCAAGUCGAGCGGAAACGAGUUACCUGAACCUUCGGGGAACGAUAAUGGCGUCGAGCGGCGGACGGGUGAGUAAUGCCUAGGAAAUUGCCCUGAUGUGGGGGAUAACCAUUGGAAACGAUGGCUAAUACCGCAUGAUGCCUACGGGCCAAAGAGGGGGACCUUCGGGCCUCUCGCGUCAGGAUAUGCCUAGGUGGGAUUAGCUAGUUGGUGAGGUAAGGGCUCACCAAGGCGACGAUCCCUAGCUGGUCUGAGAGGAUGAUCAGCCACACUGGAACUGAGACACGGUCCAGACUCCUACGGGAGGCAGCAGUGGGGAAUAUUGCACAAUGGGCGCAAGCCUGAUGCAGCCAUGCCGCGUGUGUGAAGAAGGCCUUCGGGUUGUAAAGCACUUUCAGUCGUGAGGAAGG
Molecule: ribosomal RNA, 464 nt
Filed under: Vibrio parahaemolyticus
Lineage: Bacteria; Pseudomonadati; Pseudomonadota; Gammaproteobacteria; Vibrionales; Vibrionaceae
Description: bacterial SSU rRNA
Rfam family: Bacterial small subunit ribosomal RNA
Source: RNAcentral